Papaver somniferum (opium poppy) is the source of this 451-nucleotide long non-coding RNA. RefSeq lists it as uncharacterized. The transcript has 2 exons. Lineage: Eukaryota; Viridiplantae; Streptophyta; Magnoliopsida; Ranunculales; Papaveraceae. The record is from RefSeq and is a predicted model, not a curated record.
AACACUUCUUCUUACUCUCUUAACAUUGAUUCGAUACCCUGUAAAAACUCCAAAUGUAAUACACCUUCUUUCCACGUGUUGCAAACAACGAUUGCAUGAGGCACAGAUGUAAUAAUUUUUCACAAAAGAUUAAGAUUUCUCAGUCUCAAUCUCAACUCUGUAUGGCGAGGAGAAGAAAUCAGAUUUCAUCGAUCAAAGCAGAAGCAGAAGAAAUUAUAUUUUGAGAACAAUGGCAACUUCUACUAUGGCUGCUGGAUCGGGUAUAGUUUUAACCUGACCCACUACUUUGUCUUCUACACCCGGGAUUGACCCGAAAAUCUCUGUUACUUUUCUGCAUACUCUGUUUUUUUUUUCAGAUUGGAAUUAUUUUAGAGGAAUCAUCCUUGAAGAUUGUAGCCAUUCUUCGUUUUAUUGUAUUGAAAAUAGAUGUAUAAAUUGCCUUGUUUGAUCA